AGAAUCAACGCUGGCGGCGUGCCUAACACAUGCAAGUCGCACGAGAAAGGGGCUUCGGCCCUGAGUAAAGUGGCGCACGGGUGAGUAACACGUGAAUUAUCUACCUCCGAGUGGGGAAUAACUGAGAGAAAUCUUAGCUAAUACCGCAUAACACUCACGAGUCAAAGCAGCAAUGCGCUUGGAGAGGAGUUCGCGGCCGAUUAGUUAGUUGGCGGGUAAUGGCCCACCAAGACGAUGAUCGGUA
This 244-nucleotide ribosomal RNA is filed under the name uncultured bacterium. Its description in RNAcentral is "partial small subunit ribosomal RNA". It matches the Rfam family "Bacterial small subunit ribosomal RNA", at positions 26 to 285 of the family's 1533-position model. The record is from RNAcentral.